This 579-nucleotide ribosomal RNA is filed under the name uncultured bacterium. RNAcentral's name for it is "bacterial SSU rRNA". It matches the Rfam family "Bacterial small subunit ribosomal RNA", at positions 102 to 677 of the family's 1533-position model. The record is from RNAcentral.
ACGGGUGAGUAAUGUCUGGGAAACUGCCUGAUGGAGGGGGAUAACUACUGGAAACGGUAGCUAAUACCGCAUAACGUCGCAAGACCAAAGAGGGGGACCUUCGGGCCUCUUGCCAUCAGAUGUGCCCAGAUGGGAUUAGCUAGUAGGUGGGGUAAUGGCUCACCUAGGCGACGAUCCCUAGCUGGUCUGAGAGGAUGACCAGCCACACUGGAACUGAGACACGGUCCAGACUCCUACGGGAGGCAGCAGUGGGGAAUAUUGCACAAUGGGCGCAAGCCUGAUGCAGCCAUGCCGCGUGUGUGAAGAAGGCCUUCGGGUUGUAAAGCACUUUCAGCGAGGAGGAAGGUGGUGAACUUAAUACGUUCAUCAAUUGACGUUACUCGCAGAAGAAGCACCGGCUAACUCCGUGCCAGCAGCCGCGGUAAUACGGAGGGUGCAAGCGUUAAUCGGAAUUACUGGGCGUAAAGCGCACGCAGGCGGUUUGUUAAGUCAGAUGUGAAAUCCCCGGGCUCAACCUGGGAACUGCAUUUGAAACUGGCAAGCUAGAGUCUCGUAGAGGGGGGUAGAAUUCCAGGUGUA